Molecule: ribosomal RNA, 1374 nt
Filed under: metagenome
Description: bacterial LSU rRNA
Rfam family: Bacterial large subunit ribosomal RNA
Source: RNAcentral
UGACUUGAUGCAUACCCGUUGUGGGGAAUUCAGUGAUCCUAUGCUGCCGAGAAAAGCCUCUAGUGAGUUCAUACACGGCCCGUACCCCAAACCGACACAGGUGAUCAGGUAGAGAAUACCAAGGCGAUCGAGAGAACUGUGGUUAAGGAACUCGGCAAAAUGCCCCCGUAACUUCGGGAGAAGGGGGACCAUGCCCGGUGAACAUCUUCACGGUGGGAGCUGGGUGUGGUCGCAGAGACCAGAGAGAAGCGACUGUUUACUAAAAACACAGGUCCGUGCGAAGACGUAAGUCGAUGUAUACGGACUGACGCCUGCCCGGUGCUGGAAGGUUAAGAGGACCGGUUAGCCGUAAGGCGAAGCUGAGAAUUUAAGCCCCAGUAAACGGCGGUGGUAACUAUAACCAUCCUAAGGUAGCGAAAUUCCUUGUCGGGUAAGUUCCGACCUGCACGAAUGGCGUAACGACUUCUCUGCUGUCUCGACCACAGACUCGGCGAAAUUGCACUACGAGUAGAGAUGCUCGUUACGCGCGGCAGGACGAAAAGACCCCGGGACCUUUACUAUAGCUUGGUAUUGGCGUUCGAUUCGGUUUGUGUAGGAUAGGUGGGAGACUGUGAAGCAUGCACGCCAGUGUGUGUGGAGUCGUUGUUGAAAUACCACUCUGAUCGUAUUGGACGUCUAACCUCGGCCCAUGAUCUGGGUUAGGGACAGUGCCUGGUGGGUAGUUUAACUGGGGCGGUUGCCUCCUAAAGAGUAACGGAGGCGCCCAAAGGUUCCCUCAGCCUGGAUGGCAAUCAGGUGUUGAGUGCAAGUGCACAAGGGAGCUUGACUGUGAGACUGACACGUCGAGCAGGGACGAAAGUCGGGACUAGUGAUCCGGCACCGGCAAGUGGAAGCGGUGUCGCUCAACGGAUAAAAGGUACCCCGGGGAUAACAGGCUGAUCUUCCCCAAGAGUCCAUAUCGACGGGAUGGUUUGGCACCUCGAUGUCGGCUCGUCGCAUCCUGGGGCUGGAGUAGGUCCCAAGGGUUGGACUGUUCGCCCAUUAAAGCGGCACGCGAGCUGGGUUUAGAACGUCGUGAGACAGUUCGGUCUCUAUCCGCCGCGCGCGUAAGAAACUUGAGGAAGGCUGUCCCUAGUACGAGAGGACCGGGACGGACGAACCUCUGGUGUGCCAGUUGUUCCACCAGGAGCAUGGCUGGUUAGCUACGUUCGGAAGGGAUAACCGCUGAAAGCAUCUAAGCGGGAAGCCUGUUCCAAGAUGAGGUUUCUCACCACCUUGCGUGGUUAAGGCCCCCUACAGACCAUGGGGUUGAUAGGCCGGAACUGGAAGCGCAGCAAUGCGUGGAGGUGACCGGUACUAAUAGGCCGAGGGCUU